This 582-nucleotide ribosomal RNA is filed under the name Klebsiella pneumoniae. Its description in RNAcentral is "bacterial LSU rRNA". It matches the Rfam family "Bacterial large subunit ribosomal RNA", at positions 1 to 613 of the family's 2925-position model. The record is from RNAcentral. Lineage: Bacteria; Pseudomonadati; Pseudomonadota; Gammaproteobacteria; Enterobacterales; Enterobacteriaceae.
GGGUUGUGAGGUUAAGCGACUAAGCGUACACGGUGGAUGCCCUGGCAGUCAGAGGNCGAUGAAGGACGUGCUAAUCUGCGAAAAGCGUCGGUAAGGUGAUAUGAACCGUUACAGCCGGCGAUGUCCGAAUGGGGAAACCCAGUGCAAUUCGUUGCACUAUCGUUAACUGAAUACAUAGGUUAACGAGGCGAACCGGGGGAACUNGAAACAUCUAAGUACCCCGAGGAAAAGAAAUCAACCGAGAUUCCCCCAGUAGCGGCGAGCGAACGGGGAGCAGCCCAGAGUCUGAAUCAGCUUGUGUGUUAGUGGAACGGUCUGGAAAGUCCGACGGUACAGGGUGAUAGUCCCGUACACCAAAAUGCACAGGUUGUGAACUCGAAGAGUAGGGCGGGACACGUGGUAUCCUGUCUGAAUAUGGGGGGACCAUCCUCCAAGGCUAAAUACUCCUGACUGACCGAUAGUGAACCAGUACCGUGAGGGAAAGGCGAAAAGAACCCCGGCGAGGGGAGUGAAAAAGAACCUGAAACCGUGUACGUACAAGCAGUGGGAGCACCUUCGGGUGUGACUGCGUACCUUUUGUAU